CCCCGCGCCCCGCCCCCGCCCGCGCUCCAGGCCACAGGCCCCAUGCCCCGCCCCGUGCGGGCGGGGCUCCGGGUUUAAACGUCGCGGCGGGCCGGGCGAGUGGAGGGGCGGGGCGCGCCUCUGUGUCGUGCCGCGGGUUCCGUAGGCGACAGCGCGGCACGGAACGGCGGGCACUCGGGGCCGGCGGGCGGCACCAUGUCCCCGGGGAGCGGCGUGAAGAGCGAGUACAUGAAGCGCUACCAGAAGCCGCGCUGGGACGAGUACGGGCCGUGCUACCGCGCGCUGCUCCACUACCGCCUGGGCCGCCGGCUGCUGGAGCAGGCGCACGCGCCCUGGCUCUGGGACGACUGGGGCCCGGCCUGCGCCUCGGACGACUCGGCGUCGUCGGCGUCCUCGGGCGCCGGGGCCCCCGCGCCCCAGUGCGCCCCGGCCUCGCCGCCGCCGCCCGUGGAGCCAGCGGCGCGCGAGGAGCCGGAGCAGCGGGCGCGCGCGGCCCCGGAGGAGGAGCGGGGCGCGGAGGCCGCGGGGGACGCGGAGGCCAGGGACGCGGAGGACGCGGAGGACUCGGCGCUGCCAGCACUGCCAGUGAAAGACAUAAAAGAAAAACCUGAACGACAGAUCAGGACCAGAGAGCCUGACAAAUUACCCAGCAGUACCGAACCUCAACAACCACCAAGUGCCUUACCUGCCAGAGGAAGUAGGAGAGCAGUCAAGAGUCCUCAAAGGUCAUCAACUAAAAUUAAAGAACAUAAGCAUCCGUUUGCCCUUUAUGGGUGGGGAGAGAAACAGACGGAUACAGGAAGCCAAAAAACUCACAACGUCUGUGCUUCUGCCUCAGUGCAUGAGAUCCAUGAAUCGGCGCUGCGAGCCAAGAGCAGGAGGCAGGUGGAGAAGAGGCGGCUGGCGGCGCAGAGGCAGCGGGCUCACUCCGCCGACGUGGACAGAACCAGGCGCGUCAAGCCUGCCUCGUCCGAGAACCCGUGGAUGACGGAGUAUAUGAGAUGCUACUCCGCCAGGGCUUGAGCGCAGGGACAGCUGCUCAGACGACCUCUUUUAAAAGUUUAGGUGGAGCCUGUGUUGCUCUGUUCUGAACGACUUCUGAGAUUCCAUAGCUGGUAAGAUCACACCAGCUGUGGCAGAAGACUCAUUUUCCUUAUGUGUAGAUUUCUUUGUGAAAGAAUAUCACGUUAAAAGUGAAUACAUCGUGAGCUCUCCUGGUCACUGCGAUGUAUAUUUAGUACGAAGAAGGUCUGUGUGUUGUCCAAAACAACCUCGCCUAGUGAUCCUGGUGAAUCUUGCUGUUAUUAUAGUCCUUAAACAUUGCAGGUACCUAAAGAUGAAAUUCCUGUGGCGUCGUGAUGGUGGAACCUGUUUCUUGAAAAUCACUUCCUGCAUGUUCGGUUUCAGCCACCGGCUCUGGCGUUCCAUUCCCGUUGCAGCUGACAAUCUUAGGAAGAGGCCGAGGGGAGUAGCUCGGGUCCACACGGAUGGACUGUCUUAGAAACCCGACCCUUCGAGGCUCUGAGCAAGCCAGACUCUCUCCUUUAGAAAACAGACUCAUAUUCAAUGUGCUUACAUAUUACUGCAAACUCCAGAUGCAGAUCUGGAAGAACCUAGAGGGCAAUACUGGCCAAUUUUUCCCCAUUUUUAAGUAGAGGACAAAUGAACAAAAUUUUUAAGUACUUUUAAUGUGCAUGAACAAUGAAUGAGUCAAUUUGAAGUACUUGUGAGUCCCCUUCCUAUGUCCAAGUCAUUAGUUGGUUAGGGUUUCUUUACUUUUCUUUCUCUUUAGGGGUAAAGAUUAUCUUUUAAGCCUACAAAAUUUUUGAAGUUGUAACAAUUUGAUGUCCUACUUUUUCCUUCUCAUUCUAGAAACUGAUGUUGUGAUCAUGUUUCCAUUUCUUUGGACAACUUAUAAGACGGCAAGGUAGUUUAAAAUUACCUAUCAUGUUGAAAAGUCUGAAACUGAGAAUCCAGUGAUAUUUAAAAUAUAGAAUAAAAUAGUUGCUACAUAGGACUCUCUUUUUAAAAUUUUUGUUUUAAGUUCUUAAUUAAAACAAUUUGCCAUAAACACGUUUUCUGUGUUACUUUUAUUAAAAGCAAUAAUAGAAUAUUGAGUAACACCUGAACACCUCCACUGGACCGAGGUGAGUGAGAACUAAAUAGGAAUCUGUCCGUUUUCUUUCUUUUAAAACCUAAAAGAUUGCUCUCAUUUAGGAGGUGUCAAAAUGCUUGUACUCCCCUACUGUCAGAAAAUUUCCAAGCACAUAUAUACAUUUUUUCAAGUUUACUAAAAGUAAAAUAGGGCAUAGGUUAUCUGAAUUAACUUGUAAGGUAGUAAGCACACAUUUGUGGUGCUUCUUAUGAAAUAGCUUUGUCAUUGAUUCAUCAAAUGUAAAUUGCUAGUAACCUGAAAGGUGUGUACACUGGGUCACAUAAACUCAACCAACUAAACUGCACAAAAGAAAAGGUGGCUUUUGAGUUCUAAGGCUGUGCUGGCCGUAAACUUUAUCAACGGAAGGUUAGUAUUUGAUAAUCAAAGUGUUCAAACGUAUUAUUGGCAAAGAGGGAGAGAGGCCAAGCAUAUGUUAGAAGUAAAAACAACUUUCCUUGUUGACUGCUUCAGUAGAAAAUAGUUUAGUGGAUAGUUUUACAUUUCACUGGACUAGAUACAAAAUGGUGCUAAUAUUUACACAGUCUGAUUCUGUAGUUGGUUUGGGAUCAAACUGUCAAUGCCUGACUCAUAAGGUUCUUACUAUAGUCUUGUGAUCAGCUAAAUAAUAUUUAAAAAGUGAUCCUAAAAGUGUGACCUUGUAUUUGAAAUGGAUUUUGUACAGUAGGACGAAUAGGGAGCUCUUCAAUGUAAGGUGUGUGCUUAAUACCAAAUUCUGUGCAAGGAGUGACGUCUAGGUUUUGGGCCCAGAUUUGCUCCCUUCCAGCCUGCUAGUGUGAGAGGGGGAAAAGCUGCUCGUCUAUUACUUAUUUCCAUUUUGAAAGUCAGGACACCUGAGUGAAGACAGUAGAGGCCUCUUUUUGGAUUUCUUUUAUAAUUAGCAAAACUGUAUUUAAGAACGGUCUCCCUGUGUUGUUAUUGUAUAUUUAUUUUGAGCACUGCAUUCACUUUAACAUUCUGAAGAACAAAGGCUGGGCACUUACCAUCACAAGGCUCAGGCAGUGGGAAUUUGGGGCUGUGUUUUCUAAGAACUACGUAUUGCUUUUCGCUUGUAUUGAAUAUUGCAGUUACUUGGAAAAAUGUGAAUAAAAUUCAUU
RNA transcript from Balaenoptera ricei (Rice's whale), 3270 nucleotides. It is a transcript of the gene named centriole, cilia and spindle associated protein, with no coding region annotated. Lineage: Eukaryota; Metazoa; Chordata; Mammalia; Artiodactyla; Balaenopteridae. The transcript is spliced from 5 exons. The record is from RefSeq and is a predicted model, not a curated record.